This 725-nucleotide ribosomal RNA is filed under the name uncultured bacterium. Its description in RNAcentral is "bacterial SSU rRNA". It matches the Rfam family "Bacterial small subunit ribosomal RNA", at positions 772 to 1497 of the family's 1533-position model. The record is from RNAcentral.
ACAGGAUUAGAUACCCUGGUAGUCCACGCCGUAAACGAUGUCGACUUGGAGGCUGUUCCCUUGAGGAGUGGCUUCCGGAGCUAACGCGUUAAGUCGACCGCCUGGGGAGUACGGCCGCAAGGUUAAAACUCAAAUGAAUUGACGGGGGCCCGCACAAGCGGUGGAGCAUGUGGUUUAAUUCGAUGCAACGCGAAGAACCUUACCUACUCUUGACAUCCACGGAAUUUGGCAGAGAUGCCUUAGUGCCUUCGGGAACCGUGAGACAGGUGCUGCAUGGCUGUCGUCAGCUCGUGUUGUGAAAUGUUGGGUUAAGUCCCGCAACGAGCGCAACCCUUAUCCUUUGUUGCCAGCGAUUCGGUCGGGAACUCAAAGGAGACUGCCGGUGAUAAACCGGAGGAAGGUGGGGAUGACGUCAAGUCAUCAUGGCCCUUACGAGUAGGGCUACACACGUGCUACAAUGGCGCAUACAAAGAGAAGCGACCUCGCGAGAGCAAGCGGACCUCAUAAAGUGCGUCGUAGUCCGGAUCGGAGUUUGCAACUCGACUCCGUGAAGUCGGAAUCGCUAGUAAUCGUGGAUCAGAAUGCCACGGUGAAUACGUUCCCGGGCCUUGUACACACCGCCCGUCACACCAUGGGAGUGGGUUGCAAAAGAAGUAGGUAGCUUAACCUUCGGGAGGGCGCUUACCACUUUGUGAUUCAUGACUGGGGUGAAGUCGUAACAAGGU